RNAcentral lists this ribosomal RNA (468 nucleotides) under uncultured bacterium. RNAcentral's name for it is "partial 16S ribosomal RNA". It matches the Rfam family "Bacterial small subunit ribosomal RNA", at positions 28 to 507 of the family's 1533-position model. The record is from RNAcentral.
GACGAACGCUGGCGGCGUGCUUAACACAUGCAAGUCGAACGGAAAGGCCCUGCUUUUGUGGGGUGCUCGAGUGGCGAACGGGUGAGUAACACGUGAGUAACCUGCCCUUGACUUUGGGAUAACUUCAGGAAACUGGGGCUAAUACCGGAUAGGAGCUCCUGCUGCAUGGUGGGGGUUGGAAAGUUUCGGCGGUUGGGGAUGGACUCGCGGCUUAUCAGCUUGUUGGUGGGGUAGUGGCUUACCAAGGCUUUGACGGGUAGCCGGCCUGAGAGGGUGACCGGCCACAUUGGGACUGAGAUACGGCACAGACUCCUACGGGAGGCAGCAGUGGGGAAUAUUGCACAAUGGGCGGAAGCCUGAUGCAGCAACGCCGCGUGCGGGAUGACGGCCUUCGGGUUGUAAACCGCUUUCGCCUGUAACGAAGCGUGAGUGACGGUAAUGGGUAAAGAAGCACCGGCUAACUACGUG